UACAGAGAGUGCGAACGUUGUUCGGAAUUACUAGGCGUAAAGCGUGCGCAGGCGGUUUUGUAAGUCGGAUGUGAAAUCCCCGGGCUCAACCUGGGAACUGCGUUUGAAACUACAAGGCUAGAGUGUAGCAGAGGGGGGUGGAAUUUCACGUGUAGCAGUGAAAUGCGUAGAGAUGUGGAGGAACACCGAUGGCGAAGGCAGCCCCCUGGGUUAACACUGACGCUCAGGCACGAAAGCGUGGGGAGCAAACAGG
RNAcentral lists this ribosomal RNA (253 nucleotides) under uncultured bacterium. Its description in RNAcentral is "partial 16S ribosomal RNA". It matches the Rfam family "Bacterial small subunit ribosomal RNA", at positions 524 to 776 of the family's 1533-position model. The record is from RNAcentral.